GUAGGUGGCAAGCGUUGUCCGGAAUUAUUGGGCGUAAAGCGCGCGCAGGCGGUCCUUUAAGUCUGAUGUGGAAGCCCACGGCUCAACCGUGGAGGGUCAUUGGAAACUGGGGGACUUGAGUACAGAAGAGGAAAGCGGAAUUCCAAGUGUAGCGGUGAAAUGCGUAGAGAUUUGGAGGAACACCAGUGGCGAAGGCGGCUUUCUGGUCUGUAACUGACGCUGAGGCGCGAAAGCGUGGGGAGCAAACGGGAUUAGAUACCCUGGUAGUCCACGCCGUAAACGAUGAGUGCUAAGUGUUAGGGGGUUUCCCGCCCCCCUUAGUGCUGCAGCUAACGCAUUAAGCACUCCGCCUGGGGGAGUACGGCCGCAAGGCUA
Molecule: ribosomal RNA, 375 nt
Filed under: uncultured organism
Description: partial 16S ribosomal RNA
Rfam family: Bacterial small subunit ribosomal RNA
Source: RNAcentral